Oncorhynchus tshawytscha (Chinook salmon) is the source of this 435-nucleotide long non-coding RNA. The record is from Ensembl. NCBI's taxonomy places the organism in Eukaryota, Metazoa, Chordata, Actinopteri, Salmoniformes, Salmonidae.
GUUUGUCACCCGGAUGGUCGACCAUAUUUAUGACUAGGGGGAUUGGAAUGACCAAGACUUAAUCAAGGCCUGAACUGUCAUUCCCUCCCAAUGAAAUAAGAAGACAGCUAUGUCGCAAAUAACAAUCCAAAGACCCAAUUCUACUGGACAUUGAAGUGGAGACAACUGCUUUGUCAUCAAGAUGGCGACUGGGAUUUGGGAGCUAAUUGGAUUUUUGAAAAGCUGACUGCUUGGAUUUUUCUGGAUUUUAUUUGACUGUGUCAAUUGGAAUUACUUAAACUUUCACAUGGACUCUUGUGCUGGGGAUUCUUUGGACUCAGUUGUUUGAAUAGGCUAUUGUAAUAGUUGCUUUGACUGCAUUCAAUUAGAGUACUUUUCUACUUCUGUGAUUUCCUAAUGCGCUGUUAUUUAUAUUAAAUAAAACAAUGUUUUUUC